UACGAAGGUCCCAAGCGUUAUCCGGAUUUAUUGGGUUUAAAGGGUGCGUAGGCGGUCUAUUAAGUCAGUGGUGAAAGCCCCAAGCUCAACUUGGGAACUGCCAUUGAUACUGAUGGACUUGAGUACAUUUGAGGUGGGCGGAAUGUGUCAUGUAGCGGUGAAAUGCUUAGAUAUGACACAGAACACCGAUUGCGAAGGCAGCGCACUAAACUGUAACUGACGCUGAGGCACGAAAGCGUGGGGAGCAAACAGG
This 253-nucleotide ribosomal RNA is filed under the name uncultured bacterium. RNAcentral describes it as "partial 16S ribosomal RNA". It matches the Rfam family "Bacterial small subunit ribosomal RNA", at positions 524 to 776 of the family's 1533-position model. The record is from RNAcentral.